GUAAGGAAUAUUGGUCAAUGGACGCAAGUCUGAACCAGCCAUGCCGCGUGAAGGAUGAAGGUCCUCUGGAUUGUAAACUUCUUUUAUCUGGGACGAAAAAAGGGUUUUCUAACUCGACUGACGGUACCAGAUGAAUAAGCACCGGCUAACUCCGUGCCAGCAGCCGCGGUAAUACGGAUGGUGCAAGCGUUAUCCGGAUUCACUGGGUUUAAAGGGUGCGCAGGCGGAUAUGUAAGUCAGUGGUGAAAUCUCUGGGCUUAACCCGGAAACUGCGGUCGGUACUAUAUAUCUUGAUUGCCGUGGAGGUAAGCGGAAUAUGUCAUGUAGCGGUGAGAUGCUUAGCUAUGACAUAGAACACCUAUUGCGAAGGCAGCUUACUACGCGGUUAUUGACGCUCAUGCACGAAAGCGUGGGGAUCAAACAGGAUUAGCUACCCUAGUCGUCC
Molecule: ribosomal RNA, 445 nt
Filed under: uncultured bacterium
Lineage: Bacteria
Description: partial 16S ribosomal RNA
Rfam family: Bacterial small subunit ribosomal RNA
Source: RNAcentral